AUGCUCACUUUGGCAGCACUUACACUGAAAUUGAAUCAAUACAGAGAAGAUUAGCAUGGCCCGUGUGCAAGGAUGACGUGAAUUUGUGAUAUGUCCCAUAUUUUU
Small nuclear RNA from Zalophus californianus (California sea lion), 105 nucleotides. NCBI's taxonomy places the organism in Eukaryota, Metazoa, Chordata, Mammalia, Carnivora, Otariidae. The record is from Ensembl.